This 72-nucleotide transfer RNA is filed under the name Caudoviricetes sp. Its description in RNAcentral is "tRNA-Arg". It matches the Rfam family "tRNA". Rfam says of the family: Transfer RNA (tRNA) molecules are approximately 80 nucleotides in length. Their secondary structure includes four short double-helical elements and three loops (D, anti-codon, and T loops). The record is from RNAcentral. Lineage: Duplodnaviria; Heunggongvirae; Uroviricota; Caudoviricetes.
AGUCCUAUAGUUUAACGGAUAGAAUACCAUACUACGGAUAUGGAGGUCUCAGUUCGAUUCUGAGUAGGACUA